This 644-nucleotide ribosomal RNA is filed under the name Pseudomonas sp. SST3. RNAcentral describes it as "partial 23S ribosomal RNA". It matches the Rfam family "Bacterial large subunit ribosomal RNA", at positions 1 to 691 of the family's 2925-position model. Lineage: Bacteria; Pseudomonadati; Pseudomonadota; Gammaproteobacteria; Pseudomonadales; Pseudomonadaceae. The record is from RNAcentral.
GUUAUAUGGUCAAGUGAAGAAGCGCAUACGGUGGAUGCCUUGGCAGUCAGAGGCGAUGAAAGACGUGGUAGCCUGCGAAAAGCUUCGGGGAGUCGGCAAACAGACUUUGAUCCGGAGAUCUCUGAAUGGGGGAACCCAGCCAUCAUAAGAUGGUUAUCACACACUGAAUACAUAGGUGUGUGAGGCGAACCAGGGGAACUGAAACAUCUAAGUACCCUGAGGAAAAGAAAUCAACCGAGAUUCCCUUAGUAGUGGCGAGCGAACGGGGACUAGCCCUUAAGCUUCUUUGAUUUUAGCGGAACGCUCUGGAAAGUGCGGCCAUAGUGGGUGAUAGCCCUGUACGCGAAAGGAUCUUAGAAGUGAAAUCGAGUAGGACGGAGCACGAGAAACUUUGUCUGAAUAUGGGGGGACCAUCCUCCAAGGCUAAAUACUACUGACUGACCGAUAGUGAACCAGUACCGUGAGGGAAAGGCGAAAAGAACCCCGGAGAGGGGAGUGAAAUAGAACCUGAAACCGUAUGCGUACAAGCAGUGGGAGCCUACUUUGUUAGGUGACUGCGUACCUUUUGUAUAAUGGGUCAGCGACUUAUUUUCAGUGGCGAGCUUAACCGAAUAGGGGGCGUAGCGAAAGCGAGUCUUAAUAGG